GUGUCAGCAGCCGCGGUAAUACAGGGGUCUCGAGCGUUAAUCGGAAUCACUGGGCUUAAAGGGUGCGUAGGCGGAUCCGUAAGCGCUUUGUGAAAUCCCCCGGCUCAACCGGGGAACUGCAGGGCGAACUGUGGAUCUUGAGGAAACUAGAGGCCGGUAGAACGAUUGGUGGAGCGGUGGAAUGCGUAGAUAUCAAUCGGAAUGCCAAAAGUGAAGACAGCCGGCUGGGGUUUUCCUGACGCUGAGGCACGAAAGCGUGGGGAGCAAACCGGAUUAGAUACCCUGGUAGUCC
Molecule: ribosomal RNA, 292 nt
Filed under: uncultured bacterium
Lineage: Bacteria
Description: partial 16S ribosomal RNA
Rfam family: Bacterial small subunit ribosomal RNA
Source: RNAcentral